Molecule: non-coding RNA, 29 nt
Filed under: Rattus norvegicus (Norway rat)
Lineage: Eukaryota; Metazoa; Chordata; Mammalia; Rodentia; Muridae
Source: RNAcentral
UUCAAAUGAAGAGGCUCUUUUUUUCCAAU